Long non-coding RNA from Eptesicus fuscus (big brown bat), 541 nucleotides. RefSeq lists it as uncharacterized. The transcript is spliced from 3 exons. The record is from RefSeq and is a predicted model, not a curated record. NCBI's taxonomy places the organism in Eukaryota, Metazoa, Chordata, Mammalia, Chiroptera, Vespertilionidae.
CCUAGGUGAUGAAAGAGCUGGGGCAGAGAAUUCCCCAUCUUAUCUUAGAUCUCGAUGGCAAAGGUUGUACCAGGGGCCAGUUUACUCUCAAAUGGUGUUCCUUGGCUCUCUGUCCUCUUUGCUAUGCUCUUUGUAUUUUUUCUUUUUGUCAUGUUCUCUCCCCUUUUACUUGAGAUAGACCAACAUAUAAAGAAAUUCUUGAUCAGAUGUAGAUAUUUUCUGCGUAAUGCUGUGCAUAAGAAUAAAGAAAAUGAGACACAGAUGGACAAUCUGGGAAGGCCAGACUGUCCCCUGGAGUCACCAAGGGGAGAAGUUCUGGGAGGGAAGGAAGAUGGGAUGGGGAAAGAUCCCUUACUAUUUGUGAGGGUAGCAAGAGAGCCCAGGGAUUCUGAGAAUUGUACCCCUGGGUCAUCAGUUUGAGAGUGGAUGAAGCUGAAACAAUCACCUGUGACAUCAUAUAUCAGACAGGGGAGGGCUUUUGAGACCCUUGUUAUCAAUGGUUAUACUGGAAAAAAAUAAAUAUUUUGAGUCUCUCAGAAAA